UGGGGAAUCUUGCGCAAUGGGCGAAAGCCUGACGCAGCGACGCCGCGUGUGGGAUGAAGGUCUUCGGAUUGUAAACCACUGUCGGGAGGGACGAAGCUCUGACGGUACCUCCAAAGGAAGCACCGGCUAACUCUGUGCCAGCAGCCGCGGUAAUACGUAGGGACCAAGCGUUGUUCGGAUUUACUGGGCGUAAAGGGCGCGUAGGCGGCAAUUCAAGUCAUCUGUGAAAUCUCCGGGCUUAACUCGGAACGGUCAGAUGAUACUGCUUUGCUAGAGUGCAGAAGGGGCAAUCGGAAUUCUUGGUGUAGCGGUGAAAUGCGUAGAUAUCAAGAGGAACACCUGAGGUGAAGACGGGUUGCUGGACCGACACUGACGCUGAGGCGCGAAAGCUAGGGGAGCAAACGGGAUUAGAUACCCUAGUAGUCCCUGAGCGGGCUGGCAAGGCGCAU
This 449-nucleotide ribosomal RNA is filed under the name uncultured bacterium. RNAcentral describes it as "bacterial SSU rRNA". It matches the Rfam family "Bacterial small subunit ribosomal RNA", at positions 355 to 825 of the family's 1533-position model. The record is from RNAcentral.